CUGAAGCAAAAGAUCAAAAGAAUUAGAAAGAAAAGGUUAGUGUGACAUGCAAUAUCAUCCAAUUUACUAGGAGAAAUUGCACCAUUGCACCAAAGGGGAUGAUCAACAGGUUGGAAUUAACCUCAUAAAAACCAAAAAUGAAAUCAAGAUUCUGAUUAAAGGGUGCAGCUGCAAAUAAUUUUGACGGAAAAAAAAAGAGAAAAAUCUAGUAUGAAAUAUUAAGAAAGGGAACACAAAGAGAGUAUCCAUAGGCUGCAGAAAGUUGCCCUAAACAUGAUCAACAACUUGUAGACCCUGCCUACAAAAUCCAGCUUCAAAUGUACACACAGACACUUAAAUGCGCAAGUCCAUGGCCAUUAAAGCAACAUGUCUAAUUUAUUCUUAUAUUUGUUUUUUUUAAUCCAAAUUAUGGAAAAGGAAAACAUAAAAUGGUGAAU
Molecule: unclassified non-coding RNA, 437 nt
Filed under: Hevea brasiliensis (rubber tree)
Lineage: Eukaryota; Viridiplantae; Streptophyta; Magnoliopsida; Malpighiales; Euphorbiaceae
Source: RNAcentral